RNAcentral lists this ribosomal RNA (1459 nucleotides) under Lacticaseibacillus rhamnosus. Its description in RNAcentral is "bacterial SSU rRNA". It matches the Rfam family "Bacterial small subunit ribosomal RNA". The record is from RNAcentral. Lineage: Bacteria; Bacillati; Bacillota; Bacilli; Lactobacillales; Lactobacillaceae.
GCAAGUCGAACGAGUUCUGAUUAUUGAAAGGUGCUUGCAUCUUGAUUUAAUUUUGAACGAGUGGCGGACGGGUGAGUAACACGUGGGUAACCUGCCCUUAAGUGGGGGAUAACAUUUGGAAACAGAUGCUAAUACCGCAUAAAUCCAAGAACCGCAUGGUUCUUGGCUGAAAGAUGGCGUAAGCUAUCGCUUUUGGAUGGACCCGCGGCGUAUUAGCUAGUUGGUGAGGUAACGGCUCACCAAGGCAAUGAUACGUAGCCGAACUGAGAGGUUGAUCGGCCACAUUGGGACUGAGACACGGCCCAAACUCCUACGGGAGGCAGCAGUAGGGAAUCUUCCACAAUGGACGCAAGUCUGAUGGAGCAACGCCGCGUGAGUGAAGAAGGCUUUCGGGUCGUAAAACUCUGUUGUUGGAGAAGAAUGGUCGGCAGAGUAACUGUUGUCGGCGUGACGGUAUCCAACCAGAAAGCCACGGCUAACUACGUGCCAGCAGCCGCGGUAAUACGUAGGUGGCAAGCGUUAUCCGGAUUUAUUGGGCGUAAAGCGAGCGCAGGCGGUUUUUUAAGUCUGAUGUGAAAGCCCUCGGCUUAACCGAGGAAGUGCAUCGGAAACUGGGAAACUUGAGUGCAGAAGAGGACAGUGGAACUCCAUGUGUAGCGGUGAAAUGCGUAGAUAUAUGGAAGAACACCAGUGGCGAAGGCGGCUGUCUGGUCUGUAACUGACGCUGAGGCUCGAAAGCAUGGGUAGCGAACAGGAUUAGAUACCCUGGUAGUCCAUGCCGUAAACGAUGAAUGCUAGGUGUUGGAGGGUUUCCGCCCUUCAGUGCCGCAGCUAACGCAUUAAGCAUUCCGCCUGGGGAGUACGACCGCAAGGUUGAAACUCAAAGGAAUUGACGGGGGCCCGCACAAGCGGUGGAGCAUGUGGUUUAAUUCGAAGCAACGCGAAGAACCUUACCAGGUCUUGACAUCUUUUGAUCACCUGAGAGAUCAGGUUUCCCCUUCGGGGGCAAAAUGACAGGUGGUGCAUGGUUGUCGUCAGCUCGUGUCGUGAGAUGUUGGGUUAAGUCCCGCAACGAGCGCAACCCUUAUGACUAGUUGCCAGCAUUUAGUUGGGCACUCUAGUAAGACUGCCGGUGACAAACCGGAGGAAGGUGGGGAUGACGUCAAAUCAUCAUGCCCCUUAUGACCUGGGCUACACACGUGCUACAAUGGAUGGUACAACGAGUUGCGAGACCGCGAGGUCAAGCUAAUCUCUUAAAGCCAUUCUCAGUUCGGACUGUAGGCUGCAACUCGCCUACACGAAGUCGGAAUCGCUAGUAAUCGCGGAUCAGCACGCCGCGGUGAAUACGUUCCCGGGCCUUGUACACACCGCCCGUCACACCAUGAGAGUUUGUAACACCCGAAGCCGGUGGCGUAACCCUUUUAGGGAGCGAGCCGUCUAAGGUGGGACAAAUGAUUAG